RNAcentral lists this ribosomal RNA (468 nucleotides) under uncultured bacterium. Its description in RNAcentral is "partial 16S ribosomal RNA". It matches the Rfam family "Bacterial small subunit ribosomal RNA", at positions 28 to 507 of the family's 1533-position model. The record is from RNAcentral.
GACGAACGCUGGCGGCGUGCUUAACACAUGCAAGUCGAACGGAAAGGCCCUGCUUUUGUGGUGUGCUCGAGUGGCGAACGGGUGAGUAACACGUGAGUAACCUGCCCUUGACUUUGGGAUAACUUCAGUAAACUGGGGCUACUACCGGAUAUUAGCUCCUGCUGCAUGGUGGGGUUUGGAAAGUUUCGGCGGUUGGUGAUGGACUCGCGGCUGAUCAGCUUGUUGGUGGGGUAGUGGCUUACCAAGUCUCUGACGGGUAGCCGGCCUGAGAGGGUGACCGGCCAUAUUGGGACUGAGAUACGGCGCAGACGCCGACGGGAGGAAGGAGUGGGGAAUAUUGCACUAUGGGCGGAAGCCUGAUGCAGCAACGCCGCGUGCGGGAUGACGGCCUUCGGGUUGUAAACCGCUUGCGCCUGUGACGAAGCGUGAGUGACGGUAAUGGGUAAAGAAGCACCGGCUAACUACGUG